UCCUGAGGUGGCUAGCCAAGUCUAUUGUGAAAUAUCAGGGCUUAACCCUGAACAUGCGGUGGAAACUAGAAAGCUUGAGUACAGUAGGGGCGGAGGGAAUUUCCGGUGGAGCGGUGAAAUGCAUAGAUAUCGGGAAGAACACCAACGGCGAAAGCACUCCGCUGGGCUGAUACUGACACUGACAGACGAAAGCUAGGGUAGCGAAAG
This 207-nucleotide ribosomal RNA is filed under the name uncultured bacterium. RNAcentral's name for it is "partial 16S ribosomal RNA". It matches the Rfam family "Bacterial small subunit ribosomal RNA", at positions 568 to 774 of the family's 1533-position model. The record is from RNAcentral.